UCCGGUUGAUCCUGCCGGAGGCCACUGCUAUGGGGGUCCGACUAAGCCAUGCGAGUCAUGGGGCGCCUUGCGCGCACCGGCGGACGGCUCAGUAACACGUCGGUAACCUACCCUCGGGAGGGGGAUAACCCCGGGAAACUGGGGCUAAUCCCCCGUAGGCCUGAGGUACUGGAAGGUCCUCAGGCCGAAAGGGUCUUUGACCGCCCGAGGAUGGGCCGGCGGCCGAUUAGGUAGUUGGUGGGGUAACGGCCCACCAAGCCGAAGAUCGGUACGGGCCAUGAGAGUGGGAGCCCGGAGAUGGACACUGAGACACGGGUCCAGGCCCUACGGGGCGCAGCAGGCGCGAAACCUCCGCAAUGCUCGAAAGAGCGACGGGGGGACCCCCAGUGCCGUGGCAUCGCCACGGCUUUUCCGGAGUGUAAAGAGCUCCGGGAAUAAGGGCUGGGCAAGGCCGGUGGCAGCCGCCGCGGUAAUACCGGCGGCCCGAGUGGUGGCCGCUAUUAUUGGGCCUAAAGCGUCCGUAGCCGGGCCAGUAAGUCCCUGGCGAAAUCCCACGGCUCAACCGUGGGGCUUGCUGGGGAUACUGCUGGCCUU
Molecule: ribosomal RNA, 594 nt
Filed under: uncultured archaeon
Lineage: Archaea
Description: bacterial SSU rRNA
Rfam family: Archaeal small subunit ribosomal RNA
Source: RNAcentral